This 467-nucleotide ribosomal RNA is filed under the name uncultured bacterium. RNAcentral's name for it is "bacterial SSU rRNA". It matches the Rfam family "Bacterial small subunit ribosomal RNA", at positions 917 to 1382 of the family's 1533-position model. The record is from RNAcentral.
GGGCCCGCACAAGCGGAGGAACAUGUGGUUUAAUUCGAUGAUACGCGAGGAACCUUACCUGGGCUUAAAUGUAGCGUGACCGUAUCCGAAAGGGUAUUUCCAAGCAAUUGGCAGGUUACAAGGUGCUGCAUGGCUGUCGUCAGCUCGUGCCGUGAGGUGUCGGGUUAAGUCCCAUAACGAGCGCAACCCCUAUUGUUAGUUGCCAUCGGGUCAUGCCGGGAACUCUAACGAGACUGCCACCGUAAGGUGAGAGGAAGGUGGGGAUGACGUCAAGUCAGCACGGCCCUUAUGUCCAGGGCUACACACGUGUUACAAUGGUCAGUACAAAGGGCUGCUACCUGGUGACAGGAUGCAAAUCUCAAAAACUGAUCCCAGUUCGGAUCGAAGUCUGCAACUCGACUUCGUGAAGUUGGAUUCGCUAGUAAUCGUAUAUCAGCAAUGAUACGGUGAAUACGUUCCCGGGCCUU